Molecule: transfer RNA, 63 nt
Filed under: Enterococcus faecium
Lineage: Bacteria; Bacillati; Bacillota; Bacilli; Lactobacillales; Enterococcaceae
Description: tRNA-Ile
Rfam family: tRNA
About the family: Transfer RNA (tRNA) molecules are approximately 80 nucleotides in length. Their secondary structure includes four short double-helical elements and three loops (D, anti-codon, and T loops).
Source: RNAcentral
AGCUCAGUUGGUUAGAGCAGACGGCUCAUAACCGUCCGGUCGUAGGUUCGAGUCCUACAAGGU